UCAAACCAAAGCCGGUCCACCGCCGGUCCAAUCUGUCCAGAUUGGUGGGCGGACGUACUCCCAUCAAGCCCACAUCGCCCAAAGCCCCACCUCCACUCUCCUCUCGCCGGCGGCGCAUGGCGGCCUCACCGAGGCCUCUCCUGCUCCAGCGCUACCGUGACCUCCACGUCAGCACUCCUUCCCUCCUCCCCAUCCCCCUCCACCUCCGCCGCCUCAGGCGGCCCCUCCGUCCCCGCUCACUAUCCAUCGCCGCCUGCCUCGCCUCCGGCUUCGACGGCGGUGGCGUCGCCGACGACAUCUAUCUCCACUACCCCGGCUGCCGCAAGGGCGAGUUCUCCGCUCUCGCCAGCGUCCUCCGCCGGAUCGAGCCCCUUGACACCUCCGUCAUCGGGAAGGGCGUCUCCGCCGCCGCCCGGGACUCCAUGAAGCGGACUAUCUCCACUAUGCUCGGCCUCCUCCCCUCCGAUCAGUUCGAUGUCUCGGUUAGGGUUUCCAACCGGCCGCUCCGCCACCUGCUCGUCUCUUCCAUAGUCACCGGGUACACGCUGUGGAACGCAGAGUACAGGGUGUCGCUAAUGCGGAAGUUUGAGAACUCUCCUGGGAGUGAGCAGGUGGCGAAGGUUGCUUCGGGGGAGAGUGAGGUGGUUGGGGAGGAAGGGAGUUGGACGGAGGAGUGGGAGGGUGUUGGUUGUAGUGUGGAAGUGAUGGAUGGUGAGAGUCUUGGGGAAUUAUCGGAGGCAGCUUCGAGCUAUAUACAGGAGCUCGAGGAAGAAUUGGCGGCUGCUGAGAAGGAGUUAGAUGACCAGAAACAUGAAUAUGUCCACCUGGAACAUAACAAAGAAGAGGACAAUGAUCUUUUGAAGUACUUGAGAUCUCUUGAACCUGCUAUGGUAUCUGAAUUAUCUCAACCUUCGUCACCUGAGGUUGAGGAAAUCAUUCAACAGCUUGUUCAAGGCAUACAUAUAAGAUACUUCAAUGAUGCCUCCCCUAACUUCUUACAAGAUAUGGACAACGGAGAAUCUGUUGGAUGUGAAAAAGAUGUUAACGUUCAUGAUGAUGGUACUAUAGUUACUACUCGGGAUUAUCUUGCGAAGUUACUCUUCUGGUGCAUGCUUUUGGGUCAUCAUUUGAGAGGUUUGGAGCACAGGUUGCAUCUUAGCUGUGUCGGGUUACUGUAAAGAAAUAAAGUAGCAAGGGGGUGGAGGUGUAUAUAUGGUUCUUCAUCAGCAUGAAUAAUCAUAUUAGUGGACUUUAUAUAUAUUUUUUAAUAUUUUCCUGAAAGUCGGUAGA
RNAcentral lists this unclassified non-coding RNA (1290 nucleotides) under Hevea brasiliensis (rubber tree). Lineage: Eukaryota; Viridiplantae; Streptophyta; Magnoliopsida; Malpighiales; Euphorbiaceae. The record is from RNAcentral.